Molecule: ribosomal RNA, 658 nt
Filed under: uncultured fungus
Lineage: Eukaryota; Fungi
Description: eukaryotic LSU rRNA
Rfam family: Eukaryotic large subunit ribosomal RNA
Source: RNAcentral
CCCGCUGCUCUUAAGCAUAUCAAUAAGCGGAGGAAAAGAAACUAACAAGGAUUCCCCUAGUAACUGCGAGUGAAGCGGGAAGAGCUCAAAUUUAAAAUCUGGCCGCCUUUGGUUGCCCGAGUUGUAGUCUGGAGAAGCGUUUUCCGUGUUGGACCGUGUACAAGUCUCUUGGAACAGGGCGUCAUAGAGGGUGAGAAUCCCGUCUUUGACACGGACUACCAAUGCUUUGUGAUGCGCUCUCAAAGAGUCGAGUUGUUUGGGAAUGCAGCUCAAAAUGGGUGGUAAAUUCCAUCUAAAGCUAAAUAUAGGCGAGAGACCGAUAGCGAACAAGUACCGAGAGGGAAAGAUGAAAAGCACUUUGGAAAGAGAGUUAAACAGUACGUGAAAUUGCUGAAAGGUAAACGCUUGAAGUCAGUCAUGUUCAUAGACACUUACAAUUGCUUCUGCUUGGUGCACAUCCUGGACACACCCGUCACCAACCAUUUUGAAUCGUGCAGAAAGAGUUUCGGAAUGUGGCAAGUUGGGGUGUGUCAUAUCCCAUUGUUGUAUCUGGUGCUCGCGAUUUAGGACUGAAGCCCGCCUUUAUCGGCGGGGUUCUGUCAUGUACGUUCUUAGGAUGUUGGCGUAAUGGCUUUAAGCGACCCGUCUUGAAACACGG